AGCACCUCAAGUGGUCAGGAUGAUUAUUGGGCCUAAAGCAUCCGUAGCUCGUUUUGUAAGUUUUCGGUUAAAUCCAUACGCUUAACGUAUGGGCUGCCGGGAAUACUGCAUAACUAGGAAGUGGGAGAGGUAGACGGUACUCGGUAGGAAGGGGUAAAAUCCUUUGAUCUAUUGAUGACCACCUGUGGCGAAGGCGGUCUACCAGAACACGUUCGACGGUGAGGGAUGAAAGCUGGGGGAGCAAACC
This 247-nucleotide ribosomal RNA is filed under the name uncultured crenarchaeote. RNAcentral describes it as "partial 16S ribosomal RNA". It matches the Rfam family "Archaeal small subunit ribosomal RNA", at positions 478 to 725 of the family's 1478-position model. Lineage: Archaea; Thermoproteati; Thermoproteota. The record is from RNAcentral.